GAGGGUAUAGCUCAGGAGGUAGAGCGCAUGCCUAGCACACACAAGGUCCUGGGUUCAAUCCCCAGUACUUCCU
RNAcentral lists this transfer RNA (73 nucleotides) under Camelus ferus (Wild Bactrian camel). It matches the Rfam family "tRNA". Rfam says of the family: Transfer RNA (tRNA) molecules are approximately 80 nucleotides in length. Their secondary structure includes four short double-helical elements and three loops (D, anti-codon, and T loops). The record is from Rfam by way of RNAcentral. Lineage: Eukaryota; Metazoa; Chordata; Mammalia; Artiodactyla; Camelidae.